ACUCAAAUGAAUUGACGGGGGCCCGCACAAGCGGCGGAGCAUGUGGCUUAAUUCGAUGCAACGCGAAGAACCUUACCUGGGUUUGACAUGUACGGAAAUCUGGCAGAGACGUCAGGUCCGCAAGGGUCGUACACAGGUGGUGCAUGGUUGUCGUCAGCUCGUGUCGUGAGAUGUUGGGUUAAGUCCCGCAACGAGCGCAACCCUCGUCCUAUGUUGCCAGCGCGUAAUGGCGGGGACUCAUAGGAGACUGCCGGGGUCAACUCGGAGGAAGGUGGGGAUGACGUCAAAUCAUCAUGCCCCUUAAGUCCAGGGCUGCACACAUGCUACAAUGGCCGAUACAAAGGGCUGCGAUACCGCAAGGUGGAGCGAAUCCCAAAAAGUCGGUCUCAGUUCGGAUUGGGGUCUGCAACUCGACCCCAUGAAGUCGGAGUCGCUAGUAAUCGCAGAUCAGCAACGCUGCGGUGAAUACGUUCCCGGGCCUUGUACACACCGCCCGU
RNAcentral lists this ribosomal RNA (497 nucleotides) under uncultured bacterium. RNAcentral's name for it is "partial 16S ribosomal RNA". It matches the Rfam family "Bacterial small subunit ribosomal RNA", at positions 899 to 1397 of the family's 1533-position model. The record is from RNAcentral.